CUUGUGUGCGCGGAGGAGAAGCACACUUCACCGACAAGUUGUUCCCGCUAUCCUCGCUGCCACUGCCAGUGACGGAACUUGGUGUGGACAACAUGCUGGAAAGAGAGUGUUCAUCCCUAUGAUCCCUUUGGCGCCCUCGGAGGACAUUUCACUUCCUUUCAAGUUGAAGAGGAAACAGUUCCCUGGAUCGAUCCUGGAGAGCCCCUUCCGUAACCAAGUCCCCUCCCCACUCGGAGUCCUCCGCCACUGACGCACGGGUAAGCGCCAGAGAUGCGGUGCAUCCACGCGGUUCAACGAGCUGCCGCUGUCGUAGAUAACCAAGACGUACACGGAGAUAAGCAAGAUUCAGUGUGAUGCACUGCCCCCAUGCGCUCUGAGGGUGCGAUGUCCCCGACGUGUCCAAGACAAGGUCCAGGAAGACCCUCGCCUUCGUUAUCCUGGAAUUAGGACUGGUGACAACAACAUGUGGAGUGGCACAACAAGUGGUGUUGUGGAGUACCGAAGCAAGGGUAGUCAGGUAAAUCCAACGGCGUGCACGUUUCGAUCGCCGACUGCGAUCGCCCUAUUUGGAC
Long non-coding RNA from Triticum aestivum (bread wheat), 572 nucleotides. RefSeq lists it as uncharacterized. The record is from RefSeq and is a predicted model, not a curated record. The transcript is spliced from 3 exons. Lineage: Eukaryota; Viridiplantae; Streptophyta; Magnoliopsida; Poales; Poaceae.